CAUAUAAAAGCCGACUCUCACACUGAGAAGUCACGCACAACAUGCUUUCUCCAUCCACCCAAAAUUUCGCCAACUCUUACACUGAGGGUUGCGCACAUAUAUCCACCAAAUAAAAAUGCCAAUAUCUCACCCUAAGAAUUGUGCAUUCAUAUACAUUCCUUGCAUUUGUUAUCAUAAAGCUCUCUUUCCUUUUCAUCAGAAUCAUAGGAAUGGGCUAUAUAUAAAAAAAAAUUAUGAGAAAAAGCCAAAGGGGC
RNAcentral lists this long non-coding RNA (254 nucleotides) under Sorghum bicolor (sorghum). RNAcentral's name for it is "long non-coding RNA (SBIC_LNC015923)". Lineage: Eukaryota; Viridiplantae; Streptophyta; Magnoliopsida; Poales; Poaceae. The record is from RNAcentral.